This 886-nucleotide ribosomal RNA is filed under the name uncultured fungus. Its description in RNAcentral is "bacterial SSU rRNA". It matches the Rfam family "Eukaryotic small subunit ribosomal RNA", at positions 564 to 1446 of the family's 1831-position model. The record is from RNAcentral. Lineage: Eukaryota; Fungi.
GUGCCAGCAGCCGCGGUAAUCUCCAAAGGGGAAGAGCGUAUAUUAAAGUCGUUGCAGCUAAAAAGCCCGAAGGUGAAACUUGUUUCCUGGCUGGCAGGUCCGCCUCACCGCGUGUACUUGUCCGGCCGGGCCUUUCCUUUUUUGUGAACCUCAUGCCCUUCACUGGGUGUGUUGGGGAACCAGGGCUUUUACUUUGAAAAAAUUAGAGUGUUCAAAGCAGGCCUUUGCUCGAAUACGUUAGCAUGGAAUAAUAGAAUAGGACGUGCGGGCCUAUUUUGUUGGUUUCUAGGACCGCCGUAAUGAUUAAUAGGGACAGUCGGGGGCAUCAGUAUUCAAUUGUCCGAGGCGAAAUUCUUGGAUUUAUUGAAGACUAACUACUGCGAAAGCAUUUGCCAAGGAUGUUUUCAUUAAUCAGUGAACGAUAGUUAGGGGAUCGAAGACGAUCAGAUACCGACGUAGUCUUAACCGUAAACUAUGCCGACUAGGGGAUCGGGCGAUGUUCUUUUUUCUGACUCGCUCGGGCACCUUUACGAGAAAAUCAAAGGUUUUUGGGUUCUGGGGGGGAGUAUGGUCGCCAAGGCUGAAAACUUAAAGAAACUGAACGGAAGGGCACCACCAGGCGUGGAGCCUGCGGCUUUAUUUGAACUCAACACGGGGGAAACUCACCAGGUCCCAGAUGAAAAAAGGAUGACAGAUUGAAACCUCUUUCCUGAUUUUUACAUGUGGUAGUGCAUGGCCCGUUUCUUAGUUUGAGGGAGGGGCUUCGGCUGCCUAACUUGCGAUACGAAGGAAGACCUUUAACCUUGCUAAAGAAGCCAGGCUAGCUUUGGCUUGGUCGCCCGGCUUCUUUAGAACGGACUUAUCGGCUUCAAGCCGAAGGAAAGAU